RNAcentral lists this ribosomal RNA (198 nucleotides) under uncultured bacterium. RNAcentral's name for it is "partial 16S ribosomal RNA". It matches the Rfam family "Bacterial small subunit ribosomal RNA", at positions 1303 to 1500 of the family's 1533-position model. The record is from RNAcentral.
GGCUGAAACUCGCCUAUAUGAAGUCGGAAUUGCUAGUAAUCGCGGAUCAGCAUGCCGCGGUGAAUACGUUCCCGGGCCUUGUACACACCGCCCGUCACACCAUGAGAGUCGAUAACACCCGAAGCCUGUAGUCUAACAGCAAUGAGGACGCAGUCGAAGGUGGGAUUGAUAAUUAGGGUGAAGUCGUAACAAGGUAAC